GCUCCUCUGGGCGGCUGGAGGGGAUUGGCAAGCGGCAGCUUCUCCCUCCCACACGGCCAGCUCGCUCUCCCCUCCUCCAGCCGCGGCAGGUCACCUCGCUGUGAGCGCGGCUUGGCGGGGCUGCUUUGCGCAGUGACAGGCAGGGAGACGGCGGCGGCGGCAGCGCGCGGCUCCUCUUCUCCCCGCGGGCGGACGGGCGCCAGGGGCACUAACUCCGGGGCCGCUGCCGAGCUGGGGGCCGCCGCCGGCGGGCUGCGCUGACAUUAGGAGGAGACGCGCCCGGAGGGAGGCGGACGCUGCAACUUCUCGCUGCGGCUGCGGGCAGAGGGUGGGUGGCCGGGUCUCGCUGCCCAGCAGCGCCGCAGCUCCUGGCUUCCUCUUGCUGUCUCGGCCAGAGGCUCCGGACUAUAAAUAGCAGGUUACCCAGCUGCAGAGUGACAGGCGCCCCGGGAGGGAAGCGCGGCUCCAGUCUCUCUGCGCGGUAGGCGCCCUGCUGCGAGCCAGAACCAAGAGAGCGAUGCUGUUGGCUGAAAGGAAAUCUGCUUUUUCUAAUGAAAAAUAAGACCAAGGAUUCUGAAAUUGCUGUGCACAGAGACACCUUCCAUAACAUUCAUUGGACUGUUAAAAUGGAAGAAUGCCACAGCUGAAAGGACUUACAAGUAUAUUGUUUUGAAACCUGCAAAAUUUCACCUUCAAAAAUGUAUCUGAUGUCACAGGGGAUUGUCUGUUUUAGGAUAAAGGGAAGUUCUAAGAGCUACCAGGUGGUGCUAGAGGGGAAAAAUUGCCAAACCAGUCAUCAGGUGUUUCAGUAUCCUCUCUCUGAUAGUUUUUCUCCAACCUUCAAAAUAUCAACGAGGAGGCUGAAAUUGACCCAUGUCAACCUUAACCCACCACAGGUCAAAUUUUCAGCAGAGCUCCUUAUAUGCUUGUGAAUACGUUGGAUAAUUAUGUGUGAAGAUGUGGGGUUUUCAGGUACAAAAUGAAUGUAACCAUAAAAAGAAGCCAGCACUAGCAAUUACAGAUUAACUGGGGAUGCGAUAAAAUAUUAUCGCUUCUUAAAGAAAAAAUAUUUUAAGUAAUACAUCUAGUGUUAGGAAUUAACUUUCCACGUGAUUUGGCUCUCUUCAUUCACAGGAGCAUUUCCAUCCUAUAAAGGACCUGGGCUAUAGUGAAGAAAUGUAGACAGCUUCUGAUGCCUUUCCUGAAAGCCAGGGAACCACUGUUUGGGGGGUGGAAAGGACGGGAAAUCCCCAAAACCUGAAAAUGUUCUUAUAGUAAUCAAAUAAUAGAUUGGACUACAGCAAUGAAUGAAUUGGUUAUCCCAGGGCCGGUUCCUUUCUAUUUAAUAAGCUAGAAUUUGGUACAAUGGAAGAACUUCUACACUGAGCUAAACCCCAUCAUUAUGCUGAUAUUCCCUUCCCCUUCUCCCACCACUGAAGACAGUUGAAUUGUACAACACGGCACUUCUAUGACCAUUAUGUUCAUUUUGUGGAUGUGUAUGAUUAAUAAUUCCAUACAUAGUCAAAUCACACAGUAGCCUUAAAUUCUUUGAUAAACUCCAGUGAAGUGACUGAUAUAUGCAGUAAUCUAUUCAUAUUUUCCACUGUGUAUAUGUAUUAUGUAUGUUUUUCCUAUUCUCAAGGUAUGAAAGAGAAAAUAAAUCCAUUAGAGUGCACUACUUUAAGAGAACUUGUUCAAGGACAACCUGCAUCUCAAAUUUGGUUAUCUGAUUAGAAUAUACAGUUGUCCUGAUUUUGUUUGAGCCAAAAUGAGUUAUUGUUUUAAUUUGUGUUGUAUGUCUUACUUUCAAAGACAAACUGUUGACCUGAUCUGACUUGCACUAAACAAUUCAAGGUGCAUCGAUUGACCAUUGCAUCAGACCAGAGGUUGUAAAUGAAAAAUGGCCUUCUGCUUCAGUUUGCUGAUAAACAUUAUGUAACUUUAGCGCCCUCGUGACCAAGAUGGAGUCUGCUCUGCAGGUAGCAGGAAUGCAGCAGGAAAAAUCCCUUCCACCCCAGGGGCACCUGUUCCACACCCCACAGAGUGAAUACAUACACCCACAGAAAAAGUGCAAUGGAUAUAAGAAAGGGAAAUAUUUAUUUACAGAGGAAUGAGCGGAGAAAAAGAACAAGGAGAAAUAUAGGGGAAGCAGUAGAACAGGGUUGCAUUCAAACCAAGGUCCCACAAGCCCAGUGGUAGAACAGUCUGGAAGGGCAGACACUGAGCAAUGUGUCUGCACACAGAGUUCAGGAGUCCUGAGCAAAGUUACAGUCUAGUGGUGAGUCUUGGGGGUUCCUGGUCCUCUUCAGCCCCAGUGAACUUUCCCCAACAAACCCCUCCGGUGCCCUCUUCUGCCACAAGGGUGACCAGACGUCCCAAUAUUUUGGUGUCUGUCCCGCCAGUCGGGACGAAAUUUGUCCUGAUAUCCGCCAGCAGCACUGGGUUGGGGUUUUUUUUUUUUUUUUUUUUGCUCAGCCAGCAGGACUUUUUUGCUCCCCCCCCGAUAUUUUCUUCCCCUCAUCUGGUCACCCUAUCUGCCGCUAUCUGCAAAGCCACACAGAGCGACCACCUCCCCACUUAACUAGCUAGCAACCUCCCUUCUUAUUCCCAGUGCAGAGUCAGAAGCCCCAGUACUCUCAGCCCCAUGCAGGUCUGGGCAGCAGUGAUACUGGGUCCAGCUCCGGCCUGUCCUUCUUGAGCGAUUCCUCCCUGGCACAGUGCUCCUGUCUUGGGGUGUCCCCGAUUGGCUGCCCUGUCCUUCCCAGGCUUCAGGCAGGUUCUCUGCUGCUUCACUUUGUGAGGUCCUGCGGGCUGCAGCCCUUCUUUCCCCCAGAGCUCCAGCGACACAUACCCAAGUUUCCCUCCUUUUUCUCACUGUUCCCCUUCCCCCCCUAGGAAAAAGAUAUAAAGGGACCAUGCUCUCUAAACCCCAAAAGGGGUUACACAUUACCAAACAGCAUAUUUCCCAGUAAUGGACUUUGGAGAGGACAUUUACAAAUUUACUCCUGUGCACUUUUGCAACUUGAGUACAACUGUCUGAGCGGAUCCAGAGCUGGAAUUCAGCCCCAUGCCAAACCAAGGGGAAGAUCACUUUAUUUUUUCCUGACUUUCAGGAAUAGUGAUAAGGAAGCUGAGUCUGGAAGGCAGUCUUCAUUUCAUUUUCACCUUGAGGUAAGACAGCUGGUCAGACAUUGCACACAAAAUUAUUAAGUACAAGUAUCUUGAUCUUAAGCAACUUGAUCUGGACAAGUAAAAUUUAUGCUGACCUGGUAAAAAGCCAGGUGUCCCAGCUCCUAUGAGAGAGGAAGGAUGGUUCAGUUAGUUGGGGCACUAGCCUACACCUUUGAAGAUGCUGAUUCAAUUUGUUGCUCUGCCACAGACUUGUGUGACCUUGAGCAAGUCACUUGACCUUUCUGUGCUUCAGUUCCCAUCUGUAACAUGGGGAUAAAAGCACGCCCUACCUCUCAGUGGUGGUGUGAGGAUAAAUACAUUAAAGAUUGUGAAGCACUCAGAUUCUACAGUGAUGGGGCCGUAUAAGUACUUUGGAUAGGUAGAAGUAAACACAUCAGAAGUAUCUUGGUAGAUCUUUGAAUUUUAAGAACGCUUACAACACACAAUAUCUGUCUUGGUGUUCAUGAAAACGGUUUUAGGAUGGCUCAAGCAAGGUUGUGAGAAACUGGAUUUUUUUCCCCUUGGGAGUGUGGAGAGACACUCAGCCCAACUGAGUUCAGUCCACUAUUUUAUUUUGUGUUUGUGGUUUUUUUGUUCCUGGAUUUUUUUCUUCAUUCUCUGAAAUUAUCACUCAAGUAUUUGCAUGAACAGAACAUCUAUUUGAAAAGGAGGGUCCUCAGUGAGCCCCCUGCCUGCUUCUUCCUAGAAUAGACAGCAUAUCAAGAAUGGUGAGGGAGCAUGGCUAGAACAUGCUACGCUUUAGAGAAGACUCCAUCAACUAGAUGGAGAUAUAGCUGAUCUGUAAAGGGGUAGAGGGCGAUUUAGGACUGGCAAGCAGUUCCCUUGUGCCCUGCAGAGCCAAGCAUGGCUGAGAAUCUGGACCAAAUAAAUGAUUGUGGUUCAUUUAAUAUAACUUUUGUGUCUGUGUGUUCAGGUUUUUUCACUGUUUUUUAUUCAACAAAAAACAGAGGGUUUUUGCUGGAUGGGGAAAAUCACAAAAUCCUUGUUCCAAGUAAUUGUUCCUGACCUGGGGGAAAGAGAUGUUUUUCUCUAGACUGCUUUGUUAAAAUAGAGAAUUGUGAAUUUCACAGGUUUUGUUCCAGAAAUAAUCAAUUUCUUGCAGAGAGCCUGUAUGGAUAUUUCAGUUUGAAAGAAAAGGACUCUUUUGUGCACAAUGCUUUUUUUCCUCCCUUUUAUCUGGAGAGCCUGGUCUAGGGUUACCAUAUU
Long non-coding RNA from Malaclemys terrapin pileata, 4398 nucleotides. RefSeq lists it as uncharacterized. The record is from RefSeq and is a predicted model, not a curated record. The transcript is spliced from 3 exons. Lineage: Eukaryota; Metazoa; Chordata; Testudines; Emydidae.